Molecule: ribosomal RNA, 253 nt
Filed under: uncultured bacterium
Lineage: Bacteria
Description: partial 16S ribosomal RNA
Rfam family: Bacterial small subunit ribosomal RNA
Source: RNAcentral
UACGUAGGGGGCUAGCGUUGUCCGGAAUCAUUGGGCGUAAAGCGCGUGUAGGCGGUCCGGUAAGUCCGCUGUGAAAGUCGGGGGCUCAACCCUCGGAUGCCGGUGGAUACUGUCGGGCUUGAGUACGGAAGAGGCGAGUGGAAUUCCUGGUGUAGCGGUGAAAUGCGCAGAUAUCAGGAAGAACACCUAUGGCGAAGGCAGCACUCUGGGACGGUACUGACGCUGAGACGCGAAAGCGUGGGGAGCGAACAGG